GUGUCAGCAGCCGCGGUAAGACAGAGGGUGCAAACGUUGUUCGGAAUUACUGGGCGUAAAGCGCGUGUAGGCGGCCUUGCAAGUCGGAUGUGAAAUCCCACGGCUCAACCGUGGAAGUGCAUUCGAAACUGCGAGGCUAGAGUUCUGGAGAGGAAGGUGGAAUGCUUGGUGUAGAGGUGAAAUUCGUAGAUAUCAAGCGGAACACCGGUGGCGAAGGCGGCCUUCUGGACAGUAACUGACGCUGAGACGCGAAAGCGUGGGGAGCAAACAGGAUUAGAAACCCCCGUAGUCC
Molecule: ribosomal RNA, 292 nt
Filed under: uncultured bacterium
Lineage: Bacteria
Description: partial 16S ribosomal RNA
Rfam family: Bacterial small subunit ribosomal RNA
Source: RNAcentral